This is a long non-coding RNA of Octopus sinensis (East Asian common octopus), 331 nucleotides long. RefSeq lists it as uncharacterized. NCBI's taxonomy places the organism in Eukaryota, Metazoa, Mollusca, Cephalopoda, Octopoda, Octopodidae. The record is from RefSeq and is a predicted model, not a curated record. The transcript has 3 exons.
GUGUAUGGCUUUAAGUUUACAUAUUCUUGUCGUUCUAGCAAGAGGAAUGAGAUAGACAGAGUGAUCGGAAACGAGUGAGUGAAAAAGUAAGAGAGGGGUGGGCCGGACAAUUGUAUUGUUGGUGAAUUCCAUAGCUGUCCUUCUAUGACAUUCUGUCGAGACAGUAUUGCAAAGCGGUCGGCCUGCUCUCUAUCUGUUGCUUCUCCAAAUGAUUGUAUUUACAACAAACAUACACAACAACUAUACAGGUGUGCAUACCGUUGCGAACAAGAGGUGGGUCGAAGUAGGUCAACUGUAAUUAAAAUCAAAUCACGACGGGCAAGCGUGUAUA